Molecule: transfer RNA, 76 nt
Filed under: Acidobacteriota bacterium
Lineage: Bacteria; Pseudomonadati; Acidobacteriota
Also listed under: 2 other names
Description: tRNA-Lys
Rfam family: tRNA
About the family: Transfer RNA (tRNA) molecules are approximately 80 nucleotides in length. Their secondary structure includes four short double-helical elements and three loops (D, anti-codon, and T loops).
Source: RNAcentral
GGGCCGUUAGCUCAACUGGCAGAGCAACUGACUCUUAAUCAGUAGGUUCCAGGUUCGAUUCCUGGACGGCUCACCA